GGAGAUGCUUUUAUUUUUUUUUAUCAAAUACCUUGAUAACCGUACAUUCACAAAAGUUUUGACAAACAAUCAUCAGUAAUAUGGAAACAUUGACUCAGUGGAUAAAGCCAAGUAUUAGAACAAGUCACACAGUCUGGAAAGUUCAGAAAAGUAUUUCAGUUUACUGUAAUGAAGCCUUUAAAACCAGGAAAAGCCUCAAUUUGUGUCAUAUAACGAUAUCCAAAAUCUAAGAGGAUGUAUAGUCUCCUUUCACGAUACCGAUAUAUAAUAUCUUUAUUCUUUAUUUGAGAAGAACGUUUAUUGUGUGUUACAUGAGUGUUGCCUUUGGUCAAGCCUGAAGCAGCUUAUACAUCCACUGUCUGAGCUACAUCCACCAACACAAGUGCAUCGAACAAACUGUUGAAGAUCAGUUGGCUUUAGAUCACAAUGGUUUUAUUUUCAGUGCAGUGCCUAAACUCAUGUAUCUUCAAUAGAGAUUAAAGAUGAAAACCUCCUCUCUCUCUCUCCUCCCCUCUUCUCUGUGAUCAGGUAAGGGGCGCGGGAAGAUGAAAAAGGGCGCCGUCCCUCGCCCUCCGCCGCUCCUCCUUGUCCAGGAUGCCGAGGCGGCUCUGGUGAGGCUGCAGGAGCGUGUUUCUGCUCUCCUCCUACGUAGCCGGGCGCCCUCUCCCCCCACCCCAACCCGCAGCCCCAGCGUUCUUCCAGGCCGGUGCAGUGCUGCCCCCCUCUGGCAGAAGAGCACACUGCUGGACGAGGGCUCCACCUGUGUGUCUGAUUUCUACACACCAGAGCUCAGAGGGUUCAUUACGCCGUGGGACCCUGCAACGACUGAAUUGGCCUCCUCCAGCACCGUCAACAAGUCUGCAGUCCAACCUGUGAGUGAAGGAACUCCCGUCACAGAAACCAGGGCCUCCAUCCUGCCAUCCUCCUCCCAGACCGCUGCCUCCUCGCCGGCUCCAUCCACCCCAGGGACAGGGCAUUUUUCAGUCGGAAGCCAGACACUCCGAGACCUGAUGGAGCUGGCUGAAGAUGGCAUGACUCUUACACAGCGUGGUUACACUGCUUCAGACCCUGACGGAGGUAACACACUCACAGAGAAGUCAUUUCUUAGGGAAGACGGAGUGCCUUUUCACUUUCUUUUGUAUUAACAAAAACCUUCCACAGAAGUGUUGUUUUGUUUUUGUGUGCUUAUUUUGAAUAUUUAAAAAGUAAAACCUAUAUUGCUCUUUACUUAUUUACAAGAAGCAUUUUAUGAGCCGUAGCAUGGAACCAAGAAAUAGUUUUGGAUUGUGUGUGUGACAUAAAAUCUAGGUGAAAAUCUCUUUCGAUCUGGUAAAGAGAAAAAAACGUGUUUAGUUUUUGGUAACAAUAAGUAUGAAAAUAUGGAGCCAUGAGUAUUAAAGACCUCUACAACAAUUUGUAAAUGUAAUGAGUGUAACCCAUGGGAGUAACAUGCCAGCUCAAAUUGUUGUGUCGUGACAUCACUGGUCAUCAGUUCUGGUCCUGAUUGUCUUUGUUCCCACAGAGAAAAGCACCCCUAUGACCACAAACCUUCACCUGAGCGGCUUCGUCCUGGAGGUGUCCGAAGAGCAGGCGGAACUCUGUGCGAGCAGCUUCCUACCAGAAAUGACACACGCACGCUUGGAUGAGACCCGCAGCCGAGCGAGCGGGGCGACGGAUCAACCACGACCAGAUAAAGAUCGAGGCAGCCACCGAUCAGUAAGACCUGUUGUCAUCACAGCUCUUCAGCUCUGACGUUUUUGACCCGGACACCUGGAUCUUUAUCAUUUGAAUCGCAUGAAAUCUAAUCAGAUGUUUCUCUGCAGAGUAACUUUUCUUCUUACUGUAUAACUUCUUUAAAUCUGUUAUAAACUGUUUGUUAGUCAGAAAUGACAGGUUUCCUCCUCACAUAAAAAGCCCAAAUAAUCAGAGGGAAAUCAUAUCGUUUACCAUGACAUGCCAAAUUUUUGUGUUUUUGUGUGACUUUAUCUCAUGACCGAGAUGAUUCUUACAGUGUAGAACGUCUUCUCUGGUGUGCCGGAUGUGUGCUGCCCUGACCCCAGUGUCUCCUGCUGGUGUUUCCUCUGUAGGUGGCGCUGUCCAGACUGGCAUCAGAUCUGAGCAGCAUGGUGAACAACCCUCAGCUCAGUGAUGUGCAGCUCCAGGUGGACAGUGGGGAGGUCUACUUUGCUCAUUCCUUCAUGGUGUACGCUCGCUGCCCCCUGCUGGCAGAAAUGGUAAUAUUGGCCCACUAAUACACAAACCAAGGACGCAUAAUAAAAAAGAAUUUAUACACUCUUCAUGUGGGAACUCUUUUCUGCUUUGUGUUGCAACUGCACCUAAACAAUGUCCCUCGGGUUAAUUAUAGUUCCAUCUUAUCUUAAGCCUAAAAUCUGUCACAAUACUGGAUUUUCAGCUCCUUUAACUAAGCCGAGCUUUCCAGUGGAUUUCAGUAAUUAGCAGUGAGUUGUGGACCUUAGUCCAAAAUUUCGUUCGGUUAAAGGAUGUGGGCUUUUGUACUGCAAGAAAAACAACAUCAGUGCUUUUACUUUGUUUGCAUUUAUUCUGCUCCUCUCUCAGGUACAUGAAAGUGGUA
RNAcentral lists this long non-coding RNA (2593 nucleotides) under Sparus aurata (gilthead seabream). RNAcentral describes it as "lncRNA (ENSSAUG00010015394.1)". Lineage: Eukaryota; Metazoa; Chordata; Actinopteri; Spariformes; Sparidae. The record is from RNAcentral.